UAAUACGUAGGGAGCAAGCGUUGUCCGGAAUCAUUGGGCGUAAAGAGCGCGUAGGCGGCCCGGUAAGUCCGUUCUGAAAGUCGGAGGCUCAACCUCCGAAAGCGGAUGGAUACUGCCGGGCUAGAGUCCGGAAGAGGCGAGUGGAAUUCCUGGUGUAGCGGUGGAAUGCGCAGAUAUCAGGAGGAACACCAACGGCGAAGGCAGCUCGCUGGGACGGUACUGACGCUGAGGCGCGAAAGCGUGGGGAGCGAACAGGAUUAGAUACCCUGGUAGUCCACGCCGUAAACGAUGGGCAUUAGGUGUGGGAGGUGUCGACUCCUCCCGUGCCGGCGCUAACGCAUUAAAUGCCCCGCCUGGGGAGUACGGCCGCAAGGCUA
RNAcentral lists this ribosomal RNA (377 nucleotides) under uncultured bacterium. Its description in RNAcentral is "bacterial SSU rRNA". It matches the Rfam family "Bacterial small subunit ribosomal RNA", at positions 521 to 896 of the family's 1533-position model. The record is from RNAcentral.